RNAcentral lists this ribosomal RNA (630 nucleotides) under uncultured bacterium. Its description in RNAcentral is "bacterial SSU rRNA". It matches the Rfam family "Bacterial small subunit ribosomal RNA", at positions 392 to 1038 of the family's 1533-position model. The record is from RNAcentral.
UCACGCCGCGUGAGGGAUGAAGGCUCUGGGCUGUAAACCUCCUUUAUCAAGGAAGAAGAUCUGACGGUACUUGAUGAAUAAGCCACGGCUAAUUCCGUGCCAGCAGCCGCGGUAAUACGGGAGUGGCAAGCGUUAUCCGGAAUUAUUGGGCGUAAAGCGUCCGCAGGCGGUCUUGUAAGUCUGUCGUUAAAGCGUGGAGCUUAACUCCAUUUAAGCGAUGGAAACUGCAAGACUAGAGUGUGGUAGGGGCAGAGGGAAUUCCCGGUGUAGCGGUGAAAUGCGUAGAUAUCGGGAAGAACACCAGUGGCGAAGGCGCUCUGCUGGGCCAUAACUGACGCUCAUGGACGAAAGCCAGGGGAGCGAAAGGGAUUAGAUACCCCUGUAGUCCUGGCCGUAAACGAUGAACACUAGGUGUCGGGGGAAUCGACCCCCUCGGUGUCGUAGCCAACGCGUUAAGUGUUCCGCCUGGGGAGUACGCACGCAAGUGUGAAACUCAAAGGAAUUGACGGGGGCCCGCACAAGCGGUGGAGUAUGUGGUUUAAUUCGAUGCAACGCGAAGAACCUUGACAGGGUUUGACAUCCUGCGAAUUCCUUGGAAACGAGGGAGUGCCUCGGGAACGCAGUGACAGU